This 370-nucleotide ribosomal RNA is filed under the name uncultured eukaryote. RNAcentral's name for it is "partial 18S ribosomal RNA". It matches the Rfam family "Eukaryotic small subunit ribosomal RNA", at positions 592 to 975 of the family's 1831-position model. The record is from RNAcentral.
CAAUAGCGUAUAUUAAAGUUGUUGCAGUUAAAAAGCUCGUAGUUGAAUCUUGGGAGCGGGUGGGCUAGCGAGCCACAGCCCGUCCCUGCUUCUUGCCUCUCGGUGCCCCCUGGAUGCUCUUAGCUGAGUGUCCUGUGGCCCGAAGCACUUACUUUGAAAAAAUUAGAGUGUUCAAAGCAGGCCCAAGCCGCCUGGAUACUGCAGCUUGGAAUAAUGGAAUAGGACCACAGUUCUAUUUUGUUGGUUUUCGGAACUGAGGCCAUGAUUAAGAGGGACGGCCGGGGGCAUUCAUAUUGCACCGCUAGAGGUGAAAUUCUUGGACUGGCAGUUUAGACCAGAGCGAANGNAUUUGCNAAGAAUGUUUNCAUUA